UCACGAUUGUUGUCGUUAUUGUUGUUACAAUUAGGCGUGCGCAACAACAACGUCGGUCGAAAAGGAAAACGGUAUAAACAACGAUAAUCGCGUUAUUAUUAAUCGUAAUAAUAUUAAUAAAAUAUUUCGCCGUCUUAUGGGAUCCGCCACGCCCCGACCGACACCAUAUACGCCCCGCCCCGGCCGUAGUAAACUCGAGCGUUC
This is a non-coding RNA of Cinara cedri, 204 nucleotides long. The record is from the annotation of a GenBank genome assembly. Lineage: Eukaryota; Metazoa; Arthropoda; Insecta; Hemiptera; Aphididae.